GGGGCAGUGGUGGAAUGGUAGACACAUGGGACUUAAAAUCCCAAGGUUAAUAGCCGUGCGGGUUCGAUCCCCGCCUGCCCCA
This 82-nucleotide transfer RNA is filed under the name Kofleriaceae bacterium. Its description in RNAcentral is "tRNA-Leu". It matches the Rfam family "tRNA". From Rfam's summary of the family: Transfer RNA (tRNA) molecules are approximately 80 nucleotides in length. Their secondary structure includes four short double-helical elements and three loops (D, anti-codon, and T loops). The record is from RNAcentral. Lineage: Bacteria; Pseudomonadati; Myxococcota; Haliangiales; Kofleriaceae.